This 402-nucleotide ribosomal RNA is filed under the name uncultured prokaryote. RNAcentral describes it as "bacterial SSU rRNA". It matches the Rfam family "Bacterial small subunit ribosomal RNA", at positions 355 to 774 of the family's 1533-position model. The record is from RNAcentral.
UUCAGAAUCUUGCCCAAUGGACGAAAGUCUGAGGCAGCCAUACCGCGUGUGCGAAGAAGGCCUUCGGGUCGUAAAGCACUGUCAGAGGGAAAGAUUAUGACGGUACCCUCAAAGGAAGCCACGGCUAACUACGUGCCAGCAGCCGCGGUAAUACGUAGGUGGCGAACGUUAUCCGGCAUCACUGGGCGUAACGCGUUCGUAGGCGGCAAGGUAAGCCAGAUUUGAAAGACCGGGGCUCAACUCCGGGACCGGAUCUGGAACUACCCUGCUUGAGCAGAUCAGAGGGCAGUGGAAUUCCCGGUGUAGUGGUAAAAUACGUAGAGAUCGGGAGGAACACCAGCGGCGCAGGCGGCUCACUAGACAGUUUCUGACGCUAAGAUACGAAAGCGUGGGGAGCAAACA